UACGGGGGGGGCAAGCGUUGUUCGGAAUUACUGGGCGUAAAGGGCUCGUAGGCGGCCAACUAAGUCGGAUGUGAAAUCCCCAGGCUCAACCUGGGAACUGCAUCCGAUACUGGAUGGCUUGAAUUCGGGAGAGGGAUGCAGAAUUCCAGGUGUAGCGGUGAAAUGCGUAGAUAUCUGGAGGAACACCGGUGGCGAAGGCGACGUCCUGGACCGGCAUUGACGCUGAGGCGCGAAAGCCAGGGGAGCAAACGGG
Molecule: ribosomal RNA, 253 nt
Filed under: uncultured bacterium
Lineage: Bacteria
Description: partial 16S ribosomal RNA
Rfam family: Bacterial small subunit ribosomal RNA
Source: RNAcentral